AGCUCCAAUAGCGUAUAUUAAAGUUGUUGCAGUUAAAAAGCUCGUAGUUGGAUUUCUGGUAGGAGUGACCGUUCCGAACUUGAUUGUUCGUGUAUUGUGUUUUCUCCAGCCAUCCUUGUGGAGAACUUUUCUUGCAUUAAUUUGUAGGGAUUGGGACCCGCAUCGUUUACUGUGAAAAAAUUAGAGUGUUUAAAGCAGGCAAUCGCUUGAAUACAUUAGCAUGGAAUAAUAAGAUAGGACUUUGGUACUAUUUUGUUGGUUUGCAUACCAAAUUAAUGAUCAACAGGAACAGUUUGAGGAUAUUCGUAUGAACAUGUCAGAGGUGAAAUUCUUGGAUUUUGAUCAGACGAACUACUGCGAAAGCAUUUAUCAAGGAUGUUU
Molecule: ribosomal RNA, 381 nt
Filed under: uncultured eukaryote
Lineage: Eukaryota
Description: SSU rRNA
Rfam family: Eukaryotic small subunit ribosomal RNA
Source: RNAcentral